GGAACACCAGGGGAGCUGACGCAAUGAUUUAUUUUUAUUAAUCGGUUAUUGACCGUACAAAUAACAAUAUGCUGCUACAGCGACAGUAUGUAGUCGUAGCUUUGACUUUUGUAACUUUUGGUGGUAUUUGCCAGUCGUGUAGCAUAACUGCUGAUUAUGAUUGGCACUCUACGGCUGAGCUGACCAGACUGGCGCCUCUUGUGUUGUAUGGCAAAGUUGUAGCCACGAGCAACCGAACGAUACAUAAACACGAAUACAACGCAACAUUGAAUGUUACUCGUGUUUACAAAGGCGAAUUGAAGCUAUUGAACCGUUCUCAAAUCGAGGUUGCGGGGUUUUCCUAUCCAGCAGCGUGUAGAUCAGAAGUUUUCGUUGGAGACGAAUACAUAUUCUUCCUGAAUGUUGAGCCUUUUAGAGCUCGCUAUGAUGACAUCUCGUCGGCCAUAAUGAAAUACUCAAACGCGUCAUUUCAGGAAAUACUAGAAGGGCUAUGUUGUCCUCAAACCAAAGAUUGUCCACGACAAAAUUUCACCUGUAGCCGUGGCUCUGUUUUGGCUCAGACAACAACUUGGCUUUUUCUCUUGAUGUUUUGGGUAUUAUUGGUUGGAUGACGUAGCUAACAGCUUCAUUCUUCGCGACAGCCAGAUUUGGCAGAAACCUUAGCAGA
Molecule: long non-coding RNA, 667 nt
Organism: Dendronephthya gigantea
Lineage: Eukaryota; Metazoa; Cnidaria; Anthozoa; Malacalcyonacea; Nephtheidae
Exons: 3
Source: RefSeq, a predicted model, not a curated record